RNAcentral lists this ribosomal RNA (248 nucleotides) under uncultured euryarchaeote. RNAcentral's name for it is "partial 16S ribosomal RNA". It matches the Rfam family "Archaeal small subunit ribosomal RNA", at positions 478 to 725 of the family's 1478-position model. The record is from RNAcentral. Lineage: Archaea; Methanobacteriati; Methanobacteriota.
AGCGCCACAAGUGGUCAUCGCGAUUAUUGGGCCUAAAGCGUUCGUAGCCGGUUUGGUAAAUCUCUUGUGAAAUUGUUCGGCUUAACCGAACAGCGUGCAGGGGAGACUGCCAGACUCGAGACCGGGAGGGGUUAGAGGUAUUCUGUAGGGACCGGUAAAAUGGGAUAAUCUACAGAGGACCACCGAUGGCGAAGGCAUCUAACCAGAACGGAUCUGACGGUGAGGAACGAAAGCUAGGGGAGCGAACC